GCUGAGCGUGCUAAGGUAGCGUAUAUUGCUGUUUAAUUGAAGGCCAGUGAAUGGCAAGACUAGGAAUAACUGUACUUUGUGUAUAAAAAAAACUUUUCAUCUAAGUGAAAAGACUUAGAUAAUAAAGGAAGACAAAAAGACCCCGCGGAACUUUACCUUUUCUCAUACUUCUGUCUACAAACUUAAAGGUUUAUAAGGUUUGAUUGGGGCAAUCUUGGAACCAAUAAAGCUUCCAAUUUUUUUAAAAGAAUAUUAAAAAUUUACUAAGGACUAAAAAGUAGUUACCCCGGGGAUAACAGCGUAAUCCAACUUAAGAGUACACAUCGAAAGUUGGGUUUGCGACCUCGAUGUUGGCUUAAGGAUAUCCACAUAAGUGCAACCGCUAUGACAGGACAGUCUGUUCGACUAUUAUACCCUUACAUGAGCUGAGUUAAGACCGGCGCAAGCUAGGUUGGUUCUAUCUCCUUUACCUCAACCCUUUUCUUGAUGUACGAAGAC
RNAcentral lists this ribosomal RNA (498 nucleotides) under Inversiunio jokohamensis. Its description in RNAcentral is "partial 16S ribosomal RNA". It matches the Rfam family "Bacterial large subunit ribosomal RNA", at positions 1941 to 2692 of the family's 2925-position model. The record is from RNAcentral. Lineage: Eukaryota; Metazoa; Mollusca; Bivalvia; Unionida; Unionidae.